UUAGGAGGAGGGUAUAAAUAUAAGUGGGAUCAGAUGAGAGGCCCAGAUCGUUCGAAAAUCCCCCAGAACUCUCGACCCGUUUCGGAGGCUCGGUGACCCGCGACUGGGUCUGACCGUACUCUCGCCAUCCGGCCACCGAUCGAUGGUGCACCGACAUCAAUCUGUUCCUCUGGACGUCGCUGACACGCCACCGAUCACGGCUUGACCAAUUGUCCAUCGUGGAGAACGAAUCGACGGCGACAAGCUUGAAAAUUUUCCAGCGAGUCUUCUGCAAAUUCCGGCAUGUGAGUUUCCUAUUUCCGGCGACUUUUCUGGCUUCGUCUGGUUCGCCAUCCGCCCUGGUCCCACCUGUUGGUGCACGUUGACCUCGGCUGGAGUUAGAAAUUAGAAUUUCUGGGUUGUGGACGUCGAGGCUUGGAUCAUCGAGUUUUUGAAAGCUGUUGCCGAGUUGGAUUGGAAGCUUGGGUUCUUACCUGCAGGUUACACUACUGAAGGUAAAUUCGAAGUUUAAGACAGAAUGUUUCUUGUUUAGCUUCUGGCUUGAGAAAUUGAUUGGGUUGUGUUGACUGGGAUAUUGAUAGUAUACUAGUCUGUGAAAUUGACUGUUAGUGAUGAACAAGUUAAUUGUGGGAAUUCUGUUCUGUUGACGAUUGGAAUUUUGGUUAUUGUCAAUUGAGAAGUGAAAGUACAGAAAUUAAGAAAUGGUUGUUAAAGAAAUGAUAUGUGGUGAACUGUUUGAUUUGGUUUU
Molecule: long non-coding RNA, 748 nt
Organism: Rosa rugosa (rugosa rose)
Lineage: Eukaryota; Viridiplantae; Streptophyta; Magnoliopsida; Rosales; Rosaceae
Exons: 2
Source: RefSeq, a predicted model, not a curated record